CACGUAGGGCGCAAGCGUUGUCCGGAAUUAUUGGGCGUAAAGAGCUCGUAGGCGGUCUGUUGCGUCCGCUGUGAAAACUCGGGGCUUAACCCCGAGCCUGCAGUGGAUACGGGCAGACUAGAGGUAGGUAGGGGAGAAUGGAAUUCCCGGUGUAGCGGUGAAAUGCGUAGAGAUCGGAAAGAACACCAACGGCGAAAGCGCUCUGCUGGGCCGACACUGACACUGAGAGACGAAAGCUAGGGGAGCGAAUGGG
RNAcentral lists this ribosomal RNA (253 nucleotides) under uncultured bacterium. Its description in RNAcentral is "partial 16S ribosomal RNA". It matches the Rfam family "Bacterial small subunit ribosomal RNA", at positions 524 to 776 of the family's 1533-position model. The record is from RNAcentral.